This 466-nucleotide ribosomal RNA is filed under the name uncultured bacterium. Its description in RNAcentral is "bacterial SSU rRNA". It matches the Rfam family "Bacterial small subunit ribosomal RNA", at positions 40 to 507 of the family's 1533-position model. The record is from RNAcentral.
CGGCGUGCUUAACACAUGCAAGUCGAGCGAAGCGCUUAAGAAGAUUCUUCGGAUGAAUCUUUGGUGACUGAGCGGCGGACGGGUGAGUAACGCGUGGGUAACCUGCCUCAUACAGGGGGAUAGCAGUUAGAAAUGACUGCUAAUACCGCAUAAGCGCACAGUGCUGCAUGGCACAGUGUGAAAAACUACCGGUGGUAUGAGAUGGACCCGCGUUGGAUUAGGCAGUUGGCGGGGUAACGGCCCACCAAACCGACGAUCCAUAGCCGGCCUGAGAGGGUGAACGGCCACAUUGGGACUGAGACACGGCCCAAACUCCUACGGGAGGCAGCAGUGGGGAAUAUUGCACAAUGGGGGAAACCCUGAUGCAGCGACGCCGCGUGAGUGAAGAAGUAAUUCGUUAUGUAAAGCUCUAUCAGCAGGGAAGAAAAUGACGGUACCUGACUAAGAAGCCCCGGCUAACUACGUG